RNAcentral lists this unclassified non-coding RNA (208 nucleotides) under Hevea brasiliensis (rubber tree). Lineage: Eukaryota; Viridiplantae; Streptophyta; Magnoliopsida; Malpighiales; Euphorbiaceae. The record is from RNAcentral.
AGUAUACUCUUCUAUUUCCUCUUUCUGUUUGUUUUUGUGCCCACCUUGUUUCAAACAGAUGACUCGGGUAUUAAUAUCAAGUUCUCAACCUUAAUUAAUUAUUUUAUGAAGUUGGAAGAGGAGGGAAUGGUGGAGGAAGGAGAACAAGUGGUAGUAGAAGAAAGAGCUUGUCUUUCUUUUUGUUUAGUUGCACAGUACUGAGUUGGCA